Molecule: long non-coding RNA, 250 nt
Organism: Saccostrea cuccullata (small rock oyster)
Lineage: Eukaryota; Metazoa; Mollusca; Bivalvia; Ostreida; Ostreidae
Exons: 3
Source: RefSeq, a predicted model, not a curated record
CAAGGCAGAUUUAUUAAAUUUUUUCGAUAAUUUAUUAAGGAUGAGAAUAUUUGAAGCAAUUCUGCUUGCUUGCUCUAUGCAUCCUGUAUGAAUUGCAAAAUGGGAACUGUGCAGGAAUAGAGAAAGAAAAGAUCGCUUUUCAUGCACGUGUAUCAAAAGCACAGGAAAACCUUGGUAACUACACUGUUGUUAUUUUUGGGUAUGUAACACAAAACUCUGGAAAUGCUUAUAACGCUACCACAGGCAAAUU